UACGUAGGUGGCAAGCGUUGUUCGGAAUCACUGGGCGUAAAGCGCACGUAGGCGGAUGUGUCAGUCAGGGGUGAAAUCCCGGAGCUCAACUUCGGAACUGCCUUUGAUACAGCACGUCUUGAGUCCGAUAGAGGUGGGUGGAAUUCCUAGUGUAGAGGUGAAAUUCGUAGAUAUUAGGAAGAACACCGGUGGCGAAGGCGGCCCACUGGAUCGGUACUGACGCUGAGGUGCGAAAGCGUGGGGAGCAAACAGG
Molecule: ribosomal RNA, 253 nt
Filed under: uncultured bacterium
Lineage: Bacteria
Description: partial 16S ribosomal RNA
Rfam family: Bacterial small subunit ribosomal RNA
Source: RNAcentral